Molecule: ribosomal RNA, 252 nt
Filed under: Triticum aestivum (bread wheat)
Lineage: Eukaryota; Viridiplantae; Streptophyta; Magnoliopsida; Poales; Poaceae
Description: partial small subunit ribosomal RNA
Source: RNAcentral
AUGUCUUAUAUGCAUGAAUUAUGGUUUGAUCUCCACCUUUUCCGCAACUCGGUUCCAGCCUACUUCAUUUCGGAAGAAGCACCCUUCAACUGCAAAGGUUUCAGUUUUCUUGUCGCGGGUUUCUUCCUGGCAAUAUCAUUGCCAUUUGCUUGGAUGCUUGAUCCAGAAAGCAAAGACAAACUCAUUGCAGUUGCAGAUCAAGACCAGCUCUAUCAGGAAGCAGUUCAAGCACCACUGUUGGCACAACCAUGA